Molecule: ribosomal RNA, 495 nt
Filed under: uncultured bacterium
Lineage: Bacteria
Description: partial 16S ribosomal RNA
Rfam family: Bacterial small subunit ribosomal RNA
Source: RNAcentral
GACGAACGCUGGCGGCGUGCCUAAUACAUGCAAGUAGAACGCUGAAGGAGGAGCUUGCUUCUCUGGAUGAGUUGCGAACGGGUGAGUAACGCGUAGGUAACCUGCCUGGUAGCGGGGGAUAACUAUUGGAAACGAUAGCUAAUACCGCAUAAUAGUAGAUGUUGCAUGACAUUUGCUUAAAAGGUGCAAUUGUAUCACUACCAGAUGGAGCUGCGUUGUAUUAGCUAGUUGGUGAGGUAACGGCUCACCAAGGCGACGAUACAUAGCCGACCUGGGAGGGGGAUCGGCCACACUGGGACUGGGACACGGCCCAGACUCCUACGGGAGGCAGCAGUAGGGAAUCUUCGGCAAUUGACGGAAGUCUGACCGAGCAACGCCGCGUGAGUGAAGAAGGUUUUCGGAUCGUAAAGCUCUGUUGUAAGAGAAGAACGAGUGUGAGAGUGGAAAGUUCACACUGUGACGGUAUCUUAUCAGAAAGGGACGGCUAACUACGUG